GCGAGAGUGGCGGAAUGGCAGACGCGCACGCUUGAGGUGCGUGUGGGAAACUGUACGGGUUCAAGUCCCGUCUUUCGCA
Molecule: transfer RNA, 79 nt
Filed under: Clostridium putrefaciens
Lineage: Bacteria; Bacillati; Bacillota; Clostridia; Eubacteriales; Clostridiaceae
Also listed under: 1 other name
Rfam family: tRNA
About the family: Transfer RNA (tRNA) molecules are approximately 80 nucleotides in length.
Source: Rfam by way of RNAcentral